GGUCUAGGUGCAGGCCUGUCAGAGGUCUAGGUCAGGCGUGUCAGAGGUCUAGGUCAGGCCUGUCAGAGGUCUAGGUGCAGGCGUGUCAGAGGUCUAGGUGCAGGUGUGUCAGAGGUCUAGGUCAGGCCUGUCAGACGUCUAGGUCAGGCCUGUCAGAGGUUUAGGUCAGACGUGUCAGAGGUCUAGGUCAGGCCUGUCAGAGGUCUAGGUCAGGCGUGUCAGAGGUCUAGGUCAGGUGUGUCAGAGGUCUAGGUGCAGGCGUGUCAGAGGUCUAGGUGCAGGCGUGUCAGAGGUCUAGGUCAGGCCUGUCAGAGGUCUAGGUGCAGGCGUGUCAGAGGUCUAGGUCAGGCGUGUCAGAGGUCUAGGUCAGGCGUGUCAGAGGUCUAGGUCAGGCCUGUCAGAGGUCUAGGUGCAGGCCUCUUUCCUCCUUUAGAAAUUUCCCUAUGAGUUGGUUCUAGAAAUAAUGCCAUUACUUUGUUUUGGGACCUUUUACAUGCAGAGUUUUUGCCAUUUCAGGCAAUUUUUUUUUUUUUUUGCCUCCAAUUUUAUCACUGGGGCUUGGUGUCUGCAUUUUUAUCAUUUGGUGAAUUCACUACUCGUGGAGGCCAUUUUUUCCCCUUUUUGUUGCCCUUGUAAUUAUUCUUAUUGUUGUUAUUGUUGGAUAGGACAGAGAGAUAUCAAGAGAGGAGGGGUAGGCAGAGAAUGGAAUGGAAAGAUAGACACUUGCAAACCUGCUUCACUGCCUGUAAAACAACCCCUCUGCGGGUGGGGAGCCGGGGGCUCGAAAUGGGAUCCUUACACUGGUCCUUGCGCUUCAUGCCAAGUGCACUUACCCUGCUGCACUGCUGCCCUGGCUCCGCCAACUUUUUAAAAAGAUUUUAUUUAUUUAUUCAUGAAGAAUUAGAAGAGAAAGAACUAGACAUUACUGUGCUUCUGGAUUGAACUGAGGACUUCACACUUUAUCCAUUGUACCACCCCCUGGACCACUCUGGUCACUGUUUCCUUUUUUCUUUUUAAAAUUUAUUUAUAAAAUUAAAAAAUAUAUACAAGACACUAGGUUCAGAGGAGCACAAUUCCACACAGUUCCCACCACCAGAGUUCCCUGUCCCAUCCCCUCCAUUGGAAGCUUCCCUGUUCUUUAUCCCUCUGGGAGCUUGGACCCAAAUUCUUUAUGAGGAGCAGAAGGUGGGAGUUCUACCUUCUGUAAUUGCUUCUCCGCUGGACAUGGGUGUUGGCAGGUGGAUCCAUCCCCCAGCCUAUUUCUGUCUUUCCCUAGUGGGGCAGGGCUCUGGGAAGGUCAUCUGCCCAGGGAAGUCAGGUUGGCAUCGUGACUGUAUCUGCAACUUGGUGGCUGGAAUAAGAUGAAGGUAUAAAGCAGAACAAAUUGUUUAAUAACAGAGAACCUAUAGGCAAAAAUAUAGCAGAUGAAAUUUGGGGCCUCCAUUUUGGAAAAAGUUGGUCUAUUUUAGGUAUAUUCCAAGGGGCCCAUGACUUUAAUUUUUGCCUGAGUCUGACAGCUAACAUGCAGGUUGGCCAAAGGUAUUGUCUGGGAAGAUAGUGUCAUAGUUGAAAAUAAAACUAGAAAGCUGGAUCAGGGCAGGAAGUAGCUCCCAAAUAAGGGUUAAGUAUAUAAAUUCUGUUGACUGUAAGCCCCAUCUGUUUGAUCUGGGGCCCAUAUUCAGCACAGGAGCCUGUGUGACCUCUGCAUCCCUGUGGGUCUGAGCUCACAUCCUGUGGUCACGGCUGGGAACAUUCCAGGCUGCACUAACUUCAGGACCCAUCUUCCUCAGGUGGUAGGCAGAGUAUAUUGUGCAACCUCCCUUCAGAGAAUGCGACAUUCCCCACCUUUGUUGAGCCACAUGAGGGCCAAGACCUGUAGGGACCCACAGAGGGUCCAUUGUGUUGUUCCUGAUGGAGACGACCAGUGACAGUCGUGAGAGGGAUCUGUUAGUGAUCUUGCCCCAUCACGUCUGUGUGGGAACACCAGGACUCUCUGACUAGGGCCCCGGGUGAUGGGGUGACAGGUCACUUUUUCUUUCAGGUACAGACCACAGCACUGGGCUCAUUCUGUUGCCUCGUUUGGUUUGAGCCUGAGCCACAUGCCUGGCACGUACCUUAGUGAGCCCUCCCUCUCUGGCCUCUGAUUUUAGGUUUUAGAAAGUGGACCCUACCACCUAAUUCUCCUUAAAAAAUAAACUGGCUUGUAAAUAUUGUUUUAAUGAAAUAAAAAAUGACAAGCUAUUUUGAAGCCCAUUUAGUUCUAGUAAUUUCAAAGUUAUUGAUUUUGAUAGUAGAAAAAUCUCCACUUUAAAGCUAAACUUGCAGCUUUUUUUUUUUUUCUGACUAUGCUUACAAAGUGCUAAAUUUAGCUGGAGCAAAGUUCUACCUGCACUUUUCCAGGAAGGGUUUUACUUUCCCAACCAAAAACUGUCACUGUUGACUGAGUGCACAUUUCCAGUCAGACAGUGGAGCUGAGUCCUGGCACGGCCUCCUGUCUGUUCUGAGACCUGAAUGCCAUCCACUUCAGUGGUUUCCCUACCUAUCUACCUAUCUGUCAUGUCUGUCUGUCUGUCAACCUCUCUACUAUCUCUCUCCUCUCUCUCCCUCUCUCUCUGGUGUGGGAUUAAUAUUAAUCCACCUCUCAGAGCUAUUGCGAAGAAUCAAUGAAAUAAUACGACUUUUUUUUUUUUGUGACCAGGGUUAUUGCUGGGCCUCAGUGACUGCAUAAGCACCAUUUCCAGCAGACGUUUUUCCUUUUCUCUUUCUUCCUUGUUUUUUUAUUAGAGAGGAGAGAGAGAGGAGAAAAUUGAGAAAGGAGUGGGGAGGAAGAGAGACCUGCGGACUUCCUCAGUGUAGCCGUAAUCCUUUGAGAGCCUUUGCUCUGAUCAGAUAGGCUUACUCCCCCACACACACCCACCCCGUCCCCCUACACACAUCCAGAACAAACCUUUCAGCUAAAGCUGUGCCAUCAGCCUAAACUAUGGAGAAGACAGCCACAACUGCUUCCCAAAAAUCUUUAACACGCAUCCAUUUACUUCUAAAUGUCAAAAUUUUCAAGAAACAAAUGAAAGCAAGCUGAGAUACUGAACUCUUAAUGGUGGUUUUCUUGUUUUGUUUUGUCUUUUCCCAAGCCAUGCACACAUUUUUGGGGAGCAGACGUUACUUUAAGAAAUGUUAUAUCACUUAACACUCCUCUAGAAAAAAAAAAAGAAAAGAAAA
Molecule: long non-coding RNA, 3219 nt
Organism: Erinaceus europaeus (western European hedgehog)
Lineage: Eukaryota; Metazoa; Chordata; Mammalia; Eulipotyphla; Erinaceidae
Exons: 2
Source: RefSeq, a predicted model, not a curated record